UACGGAGGAUCCGAGCGUUAUCCGGAUUUAUUGGGUUUAAAGGGUGCGUAGGCCGGCUGGUAAGUCAGCGGUGAAACGUCGUUGCUCAACAAUGACCGUGCCGUUGAAACUGUCAGUCUUGAGUGCAUCCAGUGCAUGCGGAAUUCGUGGUGUAGCGGUGAAAUGCUUAGAUAUCACGAAGAACUCCGAUCGCGAAGGCAGCAUGCAGGGGUGGCACUGACGCUGAAGCACGAAAGCGUGGUUAUCAAACAGG
RNAcentral lists this ribosomal RNA (253 nucleotides) under uncultured bacterium. RNAcentral's name for it is "partial 16S ribosomal RNA". It matches the Rfam family "Bacterial small subunit ribosomal RNA", at positions 524 to 776 of the family's 1533-position model. The record is from RNAcentral.